AACAUAUCAACCAACAAUAUCUAAAGACAUGUUAUAUAGGCCUCAAUCAUGGAUUUAAUUAGCAGUAAUUAAUCCAAAAAUAAUUAAACAAGUCCCCAACAAAUCAAAUAUCUCUUCCUCAUUUUUAUUUGCGCAACCUGAUGAUUCAUAACAGAGAAAAUAAAUGGUUUUCCUUUUAGACUAGUGGCAGUAACUUUUUAAUUAACCAAAGAAGGAAACAUUUUCAUUUGAAAUGGUGCUAUAGUCGGUGGCACUGGCUGGCUGGUGAUGAGUGUAAAUGGAAGAAGAAGAAGAGGAAAUAGGAGGAAGAGGAGGAGGAGGGGAAGGAGGGGGAGGCAGCUGCCGCGG
Molecule: unclassified non-coding RNA, 348 nt
Filed under: Hevea brasiliensis (rubber tree)
Lineage: Eukaryota; Viridiplantae; Streptophyta; Magnoliopsida; Malpighiales; Euphorbiaceae
Source: RNAcentral